CCCCUCUCAGGAUCGCACCUGGAGAGUUUCCAGUACUCUACCAGUCUCAGCUACUGGAGGGAGAGUUGUGCAGAAGCCUAUCCAUUCCAUUCCUAGCUUGGGCAGUGGAUAGUGAAUGGAAGGCAAUCUGCUACAAGU
Molecule: small nucleolar RNA, 138 nt
Filed under: Ornithorhynchus anatinus (platypus)
Lineage: Eukaryota; Metazoa; Chordata; Mammalia; Monotremata; Ornithorhynchidae
Source: RNAcentral